GUUCCAGCUGGAGGAGCGGGGCAUAAUUGCACAUGCUCAUGUGGAAGCAUGCUCCCAUCUGCCCUGUCUAUGUUGUGCAGGAGGAAGAGUGAGCAGUUCUCUGUGGCCAGAGCAGAAAUAAACACUGUGUAGCACGUACUGUAAUUUGGGUAGUGGGAGCUGGCAAGCUCCAGGUGUCCCGAAAGAGAUCAGACUGGCUGUUCCUGGGUGGCUGAGCCAUCACUGCUCUUCUGCAAACACCUGCUGGCCCCCAGCGAGCAACCUCUGUCACAUCCUCAGCUCGUCCCCUCCAGAGGGCUUGUCAGGCUGUUUAUGUUUCAUCUUCAUACUCCUCCAUGCUAAUUUAGAAAAACUGCAACUCUACACGUGUCUGUGUCUGAACAGCUGGAAAUUGCUGCAGAAAACCCACGUCUGUUCUUCAGUUCAGGACCACAAGCCUAAAGUGGACACUCAAGACUGCUGGGCAAUCCUCAUAUCCUUUCCUUGUUUGUUUCCUUUCCCAUUCCCUGAACUUGCUGUUUUACACUUUUACCUCCCUUCAAAACCCCUCCUCCCAUUUCUCACCCAUCACCUGCCACCUGCUUCGUGGCAGAAGUGAAACCAUCGGGUGGGAAUCCCCUCACCUUCCCCCAUCAGCCACAUGACUGCAUCUGUGCUCCUUCUCUGCC
RNAcentral lists this long non-coding RNA (668 nucleotides) under Equus asinus (donkey). RNAcentral's name for it is "lncRNA (ENSEASG00005037899.1)". Lineage: Eukaryota; Metazoa; Chordata; Mammalia; Perissodactyla; Equidae. The record is from RNAcentral.